AGUGGGGAAUAUUGGGCAAUGGGCGCAAGCCUGACCCAGCCAUGCCGCGUGAGUGAUGAAGGCCUUCGGGUCGUAAAGCUCUGUGGGAAGGGACGAAAAAAACGGGUCUAACACACCCGGGCUUGACGGUACCUUCUUAGCAAGCACCGGCUAACUCCGUGCCAGCAGCCGCGGUAAUACGGAGGGUGCAAACGUUGCUCGGAAUCAUUGGGCGUAAAGCGCACGUAGGCGGUCGGCUAUGUCGGAUGUGAAAGCCUCGGGCUUAACCCGAGAAGGGCAUCCGAAACUGGCCGGCUUGAGUACGGAAGAGGGUCUCGGAAUUCCCGGUGUAGAGGUGAAAUUCGUAGAUAUCGGGAGGAACACCAGUGGCGAAGGCGGAGACCUGGGCCGAUACUGACGCUGAGGUGCGAAAGCGUGGGGAGCAAA
Molecule: ribosomal RNA, 426 nt
Filed under: uncultured Haliangium sp.
Lineage: Bacteria; Pseudomonadati; Myxococcota; Haliangiales; Kofleriaceae
Description: bacterial SSU rRNA
Rfam family: Bacterial small subunit ribosomal RNA
Source: RNAcentral